RNAcentral lists this long non-coding RNA (21683 nucleotides) under Vitis vinifera (wine grape). Its description in RNAcentral is "long non-coding RNA (VVIN_LNC002693)". Lineage: Eukaryota; Viridiplantae; Streptophyta; Magnoliopsida; Vitales; Vitaceae. The record is from RNAcentral.
CAAAAAAAUGUUGCAGUUCCCGUCUAAAAAAUUGACCUAAUAGCAGGAUCAUAAAAUUUAAAACCCCCUUGAUCGCUCUGCAUAGCCAAUAAAGUAGCUGCUAACUAUUUUAGAGUCCAAUUUCUUUUCAUAAGGCUUAUAAGGUCUCGCUUCAGCUGGACAUCCCCAAAUAUGAAAAUGCUUUAAACUGGACUUUCGACCCAUCCAAAGCUCAUAAGGCGUUUUAGCAGCCGCUUUAGUUGGCACCCGAUUCAGGAUAUAAGCUGCCGUUUUGAGUGCUUCACCCCAGAGUUUUUCGGGUAAAGUAGAAUGACUAAUCAUACUCUUUACCAUAUCCUUAAGAGUUCGGUUUCGUCUUUCUGCUACACCAUUCAUGCUAGGUGAUCCUGGCAUGGUGUAUUGAGGGACGAUCCCACAUUCCUCUAGGUAUUUAGCAAAUGGUCCUGGACGUUGUUCACCUGAUCCGUCAUAUCUACCAUAGUAUUCACCACCACGGUCAGAUCUGACGCUUUUUAUUUUUUUGUUGAGUUGUAACUCAACUUCUGCUUUAAAUGUUUUGAACACGUCCAAUGAUUGUGAUUUCUCAUGUAUAAGAAAUAGGUAGCCAUAUCUUGAAUAGUCGUCUAUGAAUGUUAUAAAGUACUGUUGACCAUUCCAAGAUGCCGUAGGGUAUGGUCCACAGAUAUCUGUAUGAAUUAAUUCUAAGACGUCUGUAGCUCUAUUGGCACCUAAUUUCUUUGUUUUGGUCUGUUUUCCUUUAAUACACUCAACACAAAUAUCAAAAUCUGAAAAGUCAAGUGAAUCCAAAAUCCCAUCGGACACAAGUCGCUCAACUCUAGAUUUAGAGAUAUAACCUAGGCGUUUGUGCCACAAUGAGGCCGAAUUAUCUUUAUUCAAUUUACGUUUUGUACCUCGUGAUUCCACAUGCAAGGUUUCAUUAUAGGACGGAACAGUUUCCAACAAAUAUAGAUUAUCAUAAACAUUAAGUAAACCGGUUCCUACAGCAUUUGAAUUAAUAGAUAAUGUAAAUCUAUUGUUUCCAAAUGAACAACAAUAACCUGAUUUGUCCAAAACAGAAACUAAAAUUAAAUUCCGUCUGAAAGACGGUACAACAAAAGUAUCUAUUAAAUCCAAAAAAUAACCAGAUUUCAAUAAUAAUCUAAAGUGCCCUAUUGCCUCUACUUCUACCGACUGACCGUCUCCGACAUAGAUGCAUCUUUCAGCAUCACUUGGUUUUCGGUAACUCAGGCAACCCUGCAUAGAAACACAAAUGUGAGUAGUAGCACCAGAAUCUAACCACCAUGUGUUUCUAGAUACUGAAGCUAAAUUAACUUCAGAACAGACCAAAGUAAGAAACAUACCUUUCUUAACACGCCAAGCAGCAUACUUGGUACAUUCCUUCUUAGUAUGUCCAAGCUUAUUACAGAAGAAACAUGUUACCUCAACUUUCUGUUUCUUUUGUUCUGGACCAUUAGAAGCAGCAACCUUAUUAUCCUUAUUCUUUCGUUUGCCCUUAUCCUUGGAAGUGCUAGCCAGAUGAGCACUUUCGGUCUUGUUUUGCUUCAAUCUCUCUUCCUCUUGCACACAGAAUGAAAUGAGCUCAUUAAGAGUCCAUUUAUCCUUUUGACAGUUAUAACUGACCUUGAAUUGAUUAAAUUGUGCAGGAAGAGAGAUGAGAACCAAAUGCACGAAUAAAUCAUCAGAUAACUCGAGUUUCAAAGCCUUAAGUUUUGAAGCAAGAUGAGACAUCUCCAUGAUGUACUCCCGAACAUUACCCUUGCCUUUAUACUUCAUUGAAAUCAAGCUUGCUAAAAGCGUGCUCAUUUCAGCCUUAUCGUUUUUGGCAAAACGUUUCUGAAUUUCCACAAGGAAGUCACUGGCAUUAGUAACCUCAUCGGUUACCGCACCCCUAAAAGCUUCUGGAAUGCUGCGCUUCAUGAUCAUAAGACUUAGCCUAUUUGAACGUUCUGACUUACCCCAAUAAACCUCAUCCUCUUGAGUACUUUCCUCAUUGAGUUCAUCGGGUUUGGGCAUUCUCAAGGCUAAGUCUAUAUCCAUGCAACCUAAGAGAAUCAUCAUAUUCUCUUUCCAGUCCUUAAAAUUAGUCCCAUUUAACAUAGGGACAUUAUUGAUGUUGGCAGAUAUAGAAGUAGUUGAUAUAAAAGCCGAAUCGAGAACAAAAUAAAAUGAAUCAAAUAAACCAUCAUGCUCACAUAAAAUAAGCAAUUAAACACAUAAUCUUUAAAUUUAAAAGCAAAUUAUGACAUUUCAAGAUACCUAGCACAACAUUAAUAUCAAGUCUUUGGACAGUAAUAUUAACUGUAAGUGGUACUCUUGUUGUAGUGAUCAAACAUUGAUGAUAAGUUAUGUCAAAUAAUAAAUCUAUCUUUGGAUUGAUUUAUUAUUCACAUUAAGUUACCUUUAUAAUCAUCACAUAUUUAUCACCACAGGUAUGUAUGCAAUUUGACCAAAUAUUAACUUUCCUUUGGGCCAGUCAAUACCCGCAUGAAUCACAUACACACAAAUAUCUAACACCCCGAACAGACUAAUCUACACGAAAGAUGUCACUUUGGUGAUUUUCCGCUUUAAUUAGCCUAUUUAAAAUGCUAGAUCAAUAACUUAAAUAUUAAUAUCAUAAAAUGCUAUUAAAUAAUAAUAAUAAUAAUAAUAAUAAUAAUAGUAAUAAAAAAAAUUAUCAACUCAAUAUUUCAUAAAUCUUAAUCCAUUGACAUAUAUAUUAAAAUAAUAACUCAAAGAAUUAAUCAAGGAGUAGGCUCUGAUACCACUUGUUAUAAUCAAUCAAGAUGAAUACCCUAAUUUCAUAUAUACUGGAAUAUUUAACAAGGUGAAUACCCUAAUUUCAUAUAUACUGGAAUCUCCUGAUUAAAAACAAUGAGUAUAAAAAUAAUAGCGGAAGCAUACCUGAAUCCAUUGAAGGAGAAACCUUAUAGGAAGAAAACCCUUUGAGAUGAUCUUCCAAUUCUAGCCACUAGAUUCUGUGUCAAUUUCUCUCUGAGAGGAUUUUUAGAAAUUGGAAUGCGUAGUCAUAGAAUGGGGACCAUAACCCUAUUUAUAAACCGCUAAGGCAGUUUUAAUUUUAUCACAAUUAUAUUUCUGCCCCUCAUAGAAAUAAUAAUUGUCUAAUGAUAUCUACACAAUAAUCUCAUGACAAUUAUACCCUUAAGCCAAUUAAUCAAUUAUUAAUUAGAUCACCAUAUUUAAGCUUAAUUAAAUGAUAGCACACACAUUUUAAUUAUUUACAUGUGUGGCCCAAAUUAUAGAUUAAUUACAAAAAUUAAUCUAACAAUCCGCUACCUCCCCAACGACAACAAAGAUUCUACACUCCGGCAAUUACGGAUUUAAAGUUAAGUAAAUUAUUCUUCAACCGAGACUUUUUUUAAAGGCUUUUGAAAAGGUCACGAGUUUGUUUCAAAUUUUAACGGGUUUUUUUUUUGUUGAGGAAUCUCUGAUUUCUCUGAAAAAUUGAUUGUUUUUGUGAUAGAUUUCUUUUGUAGGAAUUUGUUGAUUAGUUUUUUUAUUUAUUUAUUCAAGUUGACCGAGUUAAUUCGGAAUAUCAGUCGAGCCAUCCGAGUCCAACCGAUUCAAGGCAGAGUCUAGGUAUAAAUUGUAUCUGGUAUCGGACUUGUCAUGACCGGUGUCGAGGCAGAUACGACUCAAUCGAGUCAUACUGGACUUGGUUGAUUUUUUGAACCUGGGAGUGUAACCGAGCCGCCAUUCUCACCCCUACGUCCAACAUCUCCACAUAAACCCAUUUCUCUGUUACUCAAAAACAAAAUCCUAUGAAGUGGGGGAUACAGAAGGAAGAGUGGGUUGGUUUUUAUGGCCACCACUCUGCUCGACUCCCUCUCUCUCCUAACAGAUUCCACUCACAAUAUUAGUCGUGUCUUCAUUUCCAUAGGAGUGGGCUACAUUCACUGGCAUUUUAUGUUUUCACAAAAUUGGAUCGCUUUGCCAUUUACAUCAUUUUUUUUCCACGCGUGCUUCCUUCAUUUACCAUAAAAUUGACUUGUUUUAAUUAUGAGAUAGGGAUUUAAGUUGAUAUCAAAUAUCAGAUUAGUAAAUCUGGAUCGAACGGCUAGAAAAAGAAGGAAUGGUAAGUCAGGAAUGAAGGUGCACUGGCGUCCAUUCACAUUAAAGUAAAGUGAUAUUUCUAGUCUUCUUCGUGCUUGCGCUGAUUGGGGGACCGCGUCAAGACUCAAGUUUCGGUGGUGCGAAUUCAUUAUUCGACGCGUCACACCGACGCCGCUCUACUUUAGACUGGGUGUAUUUCUCAUUUAUACCCUUGAGACAACAGAAAAAAUGCCUCUUAGUUGGUCAAAUAUAUAUUCUUUAAUAUAUUUAUGAAAAUUUCUAAAAUAAUCUAAAAAAAGAGUGGAAAAAUAAAAAAUUAGUGGUUUGGAAUUUGUGGGUGAGGCGAACCAUACAUUAUUAUAAUAAGGUCAAAUAAAACAAAGGUCCAAGGAUAAGCUUUGGGGCUAAUGGCCCAUUUGCAUUUUAUGCGUGAAAGUGUGGCAUUGUAAAUGUGGAAUAUAAAUCGCAUCAUGUUAAUUAAGCGUUUGCUUGUAACUUGUAAGCAACGGGGAGGCUCUGGCGGUUGCUUCGCCCGGUUCUACUUGGAAUCAGGGUGGUGUAUGACUUGUUUCUUUAACGCUUUUUCAAAAUUUGGGCAUUCUCCGAAAAUUUCUAAGAUAUUAUUAGCUUCUACGCUUGAUUUCUAUUGUUAUAUUUUAAGUAUUUUGAUUUUUAUCUUAGAUGGAUGAAAAAUAGUUAAUUUCCUAAUUAAAUUAAUGAAUAGGGGAUGAUUAGUAGGUUUCUAAUUCUAAUUUUUCUAAAUAAAAAAUAAAUAAAAAACUUAUAUCGGUUUGGUUAGAUUUUAAUGAUCAAAACUUGGUGAAAAUUUUCAAAUAAAAGACAUGUAAAUUUGAUAAUUUCAUUUUUUUUAAUUAGCAAGUCACCAAUUUUGUUUGAAAAAAUUAAUAUAAGGUUGGAAACUUCAUCCUAGAGGGUGGAAAUAAAAUAUGAAUUUAAACUAAUUCUUGUUUUUUGAAAUGAAAAGGAUGGAUCGAAAUAAAAUCAAUUGACAAAAAUAAAAAUAGACCCAAAAAAGGGGGAAAAAUUUCCUUGUCCUAAGCCACCAAAUCUCCGAAACUUCAAUUUCUGAUUAUAAAUCCGUGAAAUUAAAAAAGAAAAGAUUGAUCGGAAAUAAAAAGAAAAAUAGAAGACAACAACGCCAAGCGCAAUUCAACGCAUCGAUCGUAGAAGAACACGAGAAAAGAAAAAGAAUGAGAUCAAUGGCUUUCAAUAUAAAUUUAAUGAAUUACAAAUCAGAACUUGCAAACAAUAAUUUCUUUGAUCAUGAAUUUAUGUAUUGUAUGAAUCGAUGUUGCUUUACACAACGAGAUAAAAAAUGAAAUGGUUAGUAUCAAAAGCCUUGACGCCGCGCUUGGCCGCCGGAGCCUGCUCAUGCACGGGGGCGUUGCUACCGCUUUCCCCUUUGUUCGAGGGAGGAUGGUAGUACAUCCGAGCCGUCUGUGGGCAGUGGGAGUGAAACCGAGCCACGAUUCUCACCCCUGCAUCCAGGAUCUCCACAUAUUUCCCCAUCUUUUUCUCCUCUCUAUCCCUUAAUUAACUGCCUCUCUCUAUUACUCAAAAACAAAAUUACAGAGAGAAAUGCCAGGAGAAAGGAGAAAAACAAAGAGAGAAGAACCCAAGAGAGGGAGUUGAGCUGUUAGAAGAUGUCCCAGAUGAGCGAGCCCAUAAAGCGGAAGAGAGAAUUGGUUGAUGUUUUUUGGAAGAAGAGUAGGUUGCUUUUAUAGCCGCCCCUCUCUUCACCUUCCUCUCUUUUUCGCCUUUGUUGACCUACCUCAAUAUUAGUUGUAUGCCCCCUACUUUUUUGGUUUUUUCUAUUUGUAACCUCGCAAUAUUAGAUUUCCUUCUAUCUGUACCCCUGUUUCUUUUUUUCUUUCCGAGUAUAAUCAGGGACCACACCUCAGAAUAUUUAUGUUUUAAUUUAAGAUAUAUUGCAAAAUUGAAUUUCAUGUUUUUUAACAUAAGAAGAAUAACCCUUUUUUUUUAAUAAAAAUAUUAUUUAUCAAAAAAUUUAGACUCAUUUAAUAUCAAACCUCUUUUUUAAUUAUAUAUAUAUAUAUAUAUAUAUAUAUAUAUAUAUAUAUAUAUAUAUAAAAAGUUAUUUUUACCAUUUCAAAUUAUGAAGAUUACUUUUUUUUCAAAUGAAAAAUGUUUUAGUCCUAAGGAAUUAAAUUUUCCGAAGAGUGGGCUCAAAAAUUAUUUUAAUUAAAGCAUUUUUAAUGUAUCAUACUUUUAUUAAUAAUAUUUUUUAAUAAAAAUCACCUAAUAUUUAAAUAUAUACUAAGAAUUUUUUUAAAAAAAUAAUUUUUAAAUAUUUAUAAAAUAUAUAAUAUUUAUAAGAAAGCAUUUAGUAAAAUUUGAUAGCUCUUCUAAUCCUUUUAAAUUCACUCUCUAACCCAUUCUAAAUUGCCAUAAAAUUGGAUUGAUUCAAUUAUAUUAUGCAAAUCACUUAAAGUUACAAUCCUUCCAUUUGUAUAUCAUUUUUUCCCCAUGUGUUUUUCCUUUAAUGUAACGUGUUGUAACUUACGAAUGAAAUACAUUUAAAUACAACUAGAUCAAGUCCAAUAACUACAGGGGCAUAGUUGAAUUUUUUUUGCAUUAUCUAGGAAAAUAAGUAAAAAGAACUAAACAUGUGCUCCAAUUUUAUAUGGUCCAAGUCCAACAUGUGCUCCAAUUUUAUAUGGACCAAGUAAAUGAUAGCAUAUCACGAUCCUUCACCAGGAAUAAUGCUUACACAGAAUCUGCACCGCUGGUUAAAUCUCAGACCACUUAAUCUGGAUCGGACGGGUUGAAAAGGAAGGACUCAGGACAGGACUGAAGGCACAUUGGUCUGGACUCUGGAUACACAUUAAAGUAGAUUACUAUUUCUAGUCUCCUUUGUGCGUUUACUAAUAAUGGACCGCGUCAAAGACUCGAGUUUCGGUGGUGGGAAUUCAAUAUUCAACGCAUCACCGACGGCGCUGUGCUCUAGAGUGGGUACAUUUCUCGUUUAUGCCCCUGAGUUGUUUGGGAAACUACGGAAAUGCCUCUGAGUUGGUAAAAAUUAAAAAAUCUAACAAUUGGGGAGCUGGGGAAAUGUCCUUUGCCUUUCACUUCUGUUUUAUCAUUUUUUAUGGCGGGAAACAGAAGGGUCGGAAGACUCGGAACUCAUGUUUUGUGCGGGCCUAAUUGAUACGAGUCAUAUGACCAUGUUUUACUUUUUCAACAGGCGCUGCCCUAGCUUGUGAAUGCCUUUAUCUAGAGAACUUGGGAGUACUACAAGUCAAGAUAUGACCACUGCGGAAGACUUCAAAGCCGCCAAAAGCAAAAAUAUUUUCAAAUUAUAUCUUAUAUUUGGGUUCUUCCUGGUUAUAAAUACCUAAUUACUUGUAGAAUUGAAAUUAUAAAUAUUUUUUAUAUGUAUAGUCAAGAAACUAAAAAUAUUAGAAAAUUCUUUUUUUUUUCUAGGAAAAAUGUAAAAUCCUUCUAUUAGUUGAAAAAUGAAUUCCAUACAUUCCUUUUAUCAAUACAAAUGUUAACAUGUUUUGAGUAUGACGAGAUAUUAGAACUUUUCAAAAUAUUUUAGCAAAAAGUUCUAGAACAACUAUUUUUGUAAUUCAUUUUAAAAAUAUGUAGUAAUAGAUAGAAAAGCCUUAUUUUGACUGUGAUGAGGGCAUAUGACUCUUACUGUUUGGUGACAAGAAUACAAAUGCGAUGAAAUAGAUAUUUCGCAAAUAAAGGAGCGGUCCGUCUGGAUCAUGGCUUCUAAGAGUUUGUUAGAACAAUUUAUCAUCACUAAUAAAACCAACUGUAUAUUAAUGUGUCAAUGUCAUAAUAAUCGUCAUACUAGAAAGUCAUAAAAGCAAGAACUAUAGAUAUAGAAAACAACGUCUAAGCCCUCCCUCGUUUUAUUGUUGGUAAUAGAAGUCGGUGAGGCCAACCUUACAUUAUUAUAAUUAGGUCAAAUAAAACAAAUGAUAGACUUUGUGCCACUGGCCUUCAUGCAAUUUAUCUGUGGAACAUAUGGCAGUAUAAAAAUGGGAUGUAAAGCGCAAUAAGUUAGCAGUACCUUGGAAGCAAUUGGGAGGCUCUGGCGGUUGCUUCACCUUUUAUUUUUUUAUUAUUUUGUAUAAAUUUUUGUGGUCACGUUCAGUGCAGCAAAAGAUCAUAUCAAGAGACAAGAGACAGAUUGUUUAGCUGGCCAUUGAUGGCGACAAACGGCCAGCCAAGUUGAUUUUAAUGAUCAAGACAAGAAGACUUGCUUGCCUAAAAGUGUUCGUGGGAAGCAUGAAAGCAAGAUAACAACAAUCCAAGACACAAGGAAGAAAAAUGAUUUGAAGUUUUUAGUAAAAAUAAAAAGGGGCAAAAUAAGAACGAAAGGGAUUGGGUGGGUUGCUGUGAUAUGAAGCAAAAAAGGCGUGAGAUAUUUGAAAGGACAGGUGUACCAAUAUAGAUAUGUAUAAAAAUUGACUUGGUUCAACUAACCUAAAUUAUUAUCUGAUUAGGUCGAAUUGAAUAGAAAACUUGAUUUUCUUAGAUCCUAUACUGCUAAAAGGAAUAAAUAAACCAAAAUUCAAAAGGUUUUUAUCCUUUUCAUACAAUUUUUUUAAUCUAAGAGGAUAUGCAGUUUGAACAGUGAGUUGCAACUAAAAGUUCUGUGUGGAGACAAUGAACACAAAAUAAUAUUGGAUCUAAACUCACAGCCACUGCUUCUAACCAUACGAGAGAAGAGAGGAGUACCGCGAAGUUCUUACCCAGGGGAGGUCCAAAAUCUCCAACAUCGAUUGCUUCUGCUGUAUGCAGCAGCAAAAAGCGAGAUAAUUUAGAGCAAUCCAUAUUUUAUCCUAUUAUAUACGAUGAAAGGAGAGGGAAUGGAACUUCAAAUUGAGUACAAGGAGAACUUGAAAUCUAGCCCCAAGUACUAGAAUUUCAAAGAGACAUAGAAGAGAUUCAUGGACAUUUAGAGUCCAUUGGGCAUUAUUCUUAUUAAGAUAUUUUUCAUUUGUAGCACUUUUUUUUUAGUAAUCCUUUCAUUAGAUAUUCUUUUUGAAGAAGAAUCAUUCAAUAUUUAUGUAUAAAAACAAUACAAAAAAAAAAAAAAAAGUUUUGAUAAUAUGGUAUUUAAUGAUUCUUAAAAGAGUCAUCUAACAAAUAAUUGUCCAUAAAUUAUUUAUAGUGUUUCCCCAAAUUUUUAAAACUUUGUUGGACACCUAAUUUAUAGGAAAAUAACCUUUCUAAAUAUUAGAAAGGUUUAUAACCUUCUCAAUGUCACUCCAAAAUAACUCUAUUUUUAAAGGAUUCUGCUAAGAGGUUGUGCUUACUAGAAGAAAUCUAAGCUAUUCUAACCCAUUAGGACUUAUUGACCAGGUAUAUCACUGUGAUUAAUCAUGUUAGAAAGGGUACCCUCAACCCUGAUGUGCUUGGUUUAGUUGCACACAUUCAAUUAAGCAUUCCAACAGCUUAAAUAUUUGCAGCAGGUUCCUUAGUUUUCCUCUUUCUCUUCCAACCAAGCAUACAGCCAUUAACUCUAUAUUCUUCAACUAGAAAUCUAAUGUGAAUGCAUGACCAAAAGAGACUUCUAACUUCAAGGGUCAUUGACAUGGAUUUUCUGUUUUUCCUUUUUCAUUCUGAUUAUCAAUACUUCAAUAUGAUGAUAGAAAAGAAAUUCUCACUGUAGAAUUCUGAGAAAAAUAGCUACCAGUAAAAUGCUGUGUGACAGAAGUAAACUUCUAUUAAACUUUGACAUGAACUGUGUCAAUGUAUAAGAAUUGUACAUGUCCGAGUAAAAUGUUGCUAUAGAAAACCUCCCUAUAUAUCAGGAAAUUAAUUCUGGGAAACAUGCAGAACAAAAUGGUGGUAAACUACGAAGGUAUAUGCUCAGUUACAGUAUUGUGUCAAUUCUGUGUUACCUUUCCGUCAAAACAAAAUGGUUACAGUAUUGUGUCCCUAGCAUAGCGACCAUCCAAACUCUAUAUAUGACCCGGUCCAGCCGGGUCUAGCUCCUUAAAUCUAUUAGGCUAUCUGCAGAAAAUACCGCACGGUUAGGAUCAUAUACAAAUAAAGAUUCCAAAUUAUAUGACCAUUUCAAUGUUUUAUAUCACUGCAUGUCCAUUUCAUUUCUAUUACGCUAUUAGGCACAAAAUUUCAGUGCGUGCCUAAGUAUAGCAGUCUCCCAUUGGUUUUUACCUUUAAUUUUUGUUGUCAUCCCCAGACCCACUAGUUUUAAACCUGCUAUACUUCUAAAUCAGGUCUGUAGUCUAUACAACCCUCACUGUGGUUGGGUCAUGCCACUCCCACAUUACUAUACUGUCUUGGAAUGAUCACCAUGUCAUGCCUCCUCGGUUAGUUUUUCAGUUCAUAAUUAAACAUGAACUGAAUAAGCAUGGUGGAGAAUUCAAGAGGAAGCAUAACAUAAUGAGAGAUGUGGAGUUCAGAACUAGGUCCAAUGUUAUUUGACCCAAGUUUUCGGUGCAUAGUGCAAGGGUUUGAUGGUAUGUUCAAUUCAACCUGUAAAGCCCAUUACCCUGUAAAUAUAGGGGUCCUGCCUGCCUCCUUCCCCAGUUCUUUUGACUUCUUCCAGCUUUAACAACCUGCACAAAGACUACGUCAUUGUCAUUUUGUCACAUAAUGAUAAUCAGCGUAGGGAAUUAAUGAAAUUCACCACUUAAUUAAUUUGAUCAAGGUCAUUUUGGUAGUAAUUUGGCCCAACUUGGUAUGUCCAGUUCAUUCUGAUUGACCACGUUAAAAGUGAUGUGAAACCUGCAUUUCAUGAGACAUAUAGAGCCAGCAUGUCAAAUAAUUUGGACCGUCAGAUCUGCAUUGGGGUUUCCACUAUCGCAAGAUUUGGUACAGUCAAUCGUCCAAAUCAUCCAACCGUGCUGAUCUCUUGUGCUCUCAAAAUCCAAUUCUAAAAUGAGAACUGGUGAGAUGUCCCUGUCAGAUGUUGACGUGUCAUGAUGUUAUUGGCUUAGAGAGGGAAAAUACAUUCUGAGAGCUUUGCUGGUGUCAGGACUGUCACCGAGCACUCGACGGAUCCUGACUUCAGUAGAACACCCUCCAGAUAACAACCUCAAAAUCGCCUCGCCUCGGCGCCGCAUGUGAACCGAGCCCAGCUGCUUCCCCCUCACAUCUCCACUGCUCAGCCCAGCCUUUCCAAUUCCAACUCCACCGCUGGGGUAUCGGCUUCGAGCGCUAGAACCACUUGACAAGCACGAAACCUCUGUGUUCGCCGACACAGAUCCAGAAGCCAUCUUGGCGGGAUUUCCAGACGUGAUUUUCCGGUGAUGGCAGCUUCGGUAGUUUUUGGAGCGACUCUUUCGCACAACCUGAGAAAAUUCAUAUAUUCCAAAAAGUAUCAAUAAAAUUAUGUGAACGAUUCCACAUCAUGACAAUAUUAUAUUGCUGUGUAAGAGUUAAAAUCAUUGCAUUUUUUGCUUGCCAAAGGAAGAAAAAUACUUGGAACAUGCCAACAAAGCAAAAGCUGAGUUCAAAUGCUCGAGUAUGUUAUCAGAUCUAUUGCUAAGAAUCAUAAAUAUAUAGCCAUAUAGUAGAUUAGGCUAUAGAAAAUCAAUCGAGGGACAGAGUGAUUCAAUCGCCUUGAACUUUAUCUAAUUUUAAAAAAAUUUACCACACAACGAACUCAGAUUUAGAAUUAUUAAAUUUAGGUAAGAAGAAAAUGAAUCAAUACGCCAAUUGACUUGAGAUUGAGCAGAAAACAAGUACAAAUAAACCUAAUUGGAUAGAAAUCAGAGCGCGUUGAGCUUCGUUCACCCAAUUCAAAAUGCAAAAGCUCCAAAUGGACCAAGUGAGGUGCAAACCAUUAAAAAAUUCAAUCAAACGAAAACCAAGCAUACUCGAUCAAGAAUUGAGGAACGAAUCAAAACUCAAGAAAAUGACUUCAGGAGAAGAGAAAUCACUACGCAAAUUUAAGGAAAAUCGAUCAAAAAAGGAAGCCAAAUUCAAAAACGUCAGAGCUUAAGAUCAGAAAGCAAAUUCAACUGAGUGAAAAUAAAAUGUAGGUAAAAAAAUGCACAGAGGCUCAAUCACUUUGAGCUUCAAUUUUCAUGGAAACAUACUCAAAACUCAGUAGACACGGAGAAACAGAGAAAACAGAUCACCUUAAGCUUCAUCUCAUUGCACCAAGCCACAACCGCAACGAUUCUGAGCCGCCGAGCAUGGAUCUCUUCAGAGGAACCAUCGCUACUCAGGGACGAAGAACAAGCCUUCGAAUCACUCAACACCACGCUCUCCAUCCGCUUCCCACUAUCAUCACUGUUGCUGUUGCUUCCUCCAUCUUUGUUCGGUUCGUCCUCAAAAUCAAGCCUGCAAAGCAAUUACAAAAACACAAAUCAUCAGAGAAUAAUAACCAGAAUCGAAAUAUGAAUUUAAAUCCAAAACUCGCUUAAAAUCAAAAUCACUUUGGGGAGAGAGAGGGCGAUGUAGUGGUGGUGGAUGAAGAGAGCAGGAGAAGAGCUGAAGCAGCAGUGCGUUCUAGUGGACAUGGAAACUCUUCCAUUGAUUUUGUUAUCAAAAAGGCGGGUUGAUUCAAAACAUUUGAAAAUUUUUCCUUCUUUUUUUGUUUGUUUUCUCUCUCUAUAACCGUUUUAUUGUUUCCUGAAACGAGACACCGCUCUCCCCUACAUGCACAAGCUGCUGCUUCACUGUGGCGGGGCUCACAUGAUAAACCGGUGAGUGUCUCAUGCGGCCCAGUAAUAAUCAGAUAUUUUAAUUGUCUCAAAAAAAUAGUUAGCUUUUAAAAUAUUUUUGUAACGACAUUCUAUAUGUAUCCAUUAUAAAAAGGCUAAAGUAGUAAUUUCUAUAUAAAAUAUAAUAUUUUUAUAUAUAAGUAGUAAUUUUUCUGUUUUUUUUUUAUAUAAAAAUAAUAGUACUUUUGAAAUUUUUAUAUAAGUUAAAUAUAUACUCUUCUAUUUUUAUAUUGAUAUUUUUUUAAAUGCUUUAGCUGAAAUUUAUUAAAUAUUAAAUUUGAUGGAAGGGGCUUGUUAAGGUGUCAAAUCGGAAUGUGCCACGUAUUCAUUUUAGAUUUCAAUACCCAAAUUUGUCUUAUACCCUAAUCUUAAUCUUAAUUUUAGAUUUCAUUUCUUGAUAGGUAUCAAUUUAGUACAAUAUAAUAAUAAUUAUUAUUUUCUUUGAUUUUCUACUAUACUUUCUUUUCUAGUUUUAUUUCUACCUAUUCAAACUCAAAUAGGAUAAACCUCGAAUAUAAAUUAUAAUUUAAGUGUUGGUUUGCAAAAUAUUUUUGAAAGUAAUUUUUUAUUGAAGACUUAAAAAACAGUUUUUAACUUAGAAAUUUUUUUAGACAAACUUUAAAUAUAUUUUUUAAUAAUUUAUUUUAAAAUAAGUUUUUUGUGUUUUGAAUAAUAAUUAAAAUAAAUAAAUAAUAUUUUGAUAAUUCUAUAAUAUCUUAAGAGAAUAAGUCAAUAAAAUUAGUAUUUUUUUCAUUUAAAUUCCAAAAAAUAGAAUUUUAUCUUUAAAACCACUGGAAAACUAUUUCCCAAAAAUGGUUGUCGAACAAAUCAAUCUAUUAUCAUGUACCAAAUUGUAUGAAGUAGACUAAUUAUGUACCAAUGAAUCUAUAAUCAUUUGAUUAAAACAUUAUAAUUGAAUGAAUUACAAUUGUAAUCUAAAUCAAUGAGUGAAAUUGACUAUCAAGUUAUGAGGGUGUGCACAAAGGAGAACCGCGUCACUGGGAGUCUGGGCCUGGGAUCCAAGCAGCAAGCUCCGUUAUGUUUCAUAUUUCGGAGCGUCUUUUUAAGGUUGUGGGUCCCACUGCCACGUAAGAAGAGCAGCUUUCAGCCAGAAGUUCAUUGAAAGAGAAGCUUGACCUGCCAUGGUCAAUACUGGAAGUGAAUAAAUCCCAACAAAUGUAUAUAAUAAAGGAAAAAUGCAGAUCGGAAAAAGGAGAAAUCAUAGAGAAGAAUAUAGGUAUAUCUGUAUAUGAAGAUGCCCCACCACACCACACUACCACCAAACUCAGCUGGUUGUUGCUGUUAAAUUCAAGCUUAAGGCACCCCCACCACCUGUCGGCAGCUACUCUUUUUAGGGAGAGUGUGUGUGGGUCUUCUAUUUGGAGGCUGAGAAAACGAGGGAGAUUGAAAGGAUUGAAGUAAAGCUAAGAGUAAGACAGAGGGAAGAGAAGUGUGAGGCUGGUUUUGAGUUUGUGGGAUUCAAUGUUGGUCCAAGAUCGUUCAACUCCGAAAUCACCAAAAACCCAUAUCAGAGCGCUUCAUUCUCUACACCCAGAUCGCUUCACUGAGCCCAAAAACCUCGAUUUCUCUACAUGGUUCUCCGAAAACCUCUACAAGAUCGUCACCAUUUCGCUCCUAAUCGCCACAGUCGCAGCUCUCUUCUUCCUCCGCAACGUCGCCGACACCGCUGCUCUCGUUUCCUACGAAACCCAAGCGAAGAGCCUUGAGAAGAUCGAAUUCCCUCAAAUUAAUUGGAAUUCAGUUGCACUCGUUUCAGAUAAGUCCCCUUACGCGAAUUUUCGAUCCGAGAGAUGGAUUCUUGUUUCGGUGUCGAAUUAUCCGACCGAUUCGCUUCGGAAACUCGUGAAGAUUAAGGGCUGGCAGGUCCUCGCAAUUGGCAAUUCGAAGACGCCUUCAGAUUGGAGCCUCAAAGGUGCGAUCUUUUUGUCUUUAGAACAGCAGGCGAAUUUAGGGUUUCGGGUAGUGGAUCACCUCCCUUAUGAUUCCUUUGUUAGGAAAAAUGUUGGGUAUCUUUUCGCGAUCCAACAUGGCGCAAAGAAGAUCUUUGAUGCUGAUGAUCGUGGGGACGUGAUUGAUAACGAUCUCGGAAAGCAUUUCGAUGUAGAAUUGAUUGGUGAGGGUGCUAGGCAAGAUAUUAUACUGCAAUAUAGUCACGAAAACCCUAAUCGGACCAUUGUGAAUCCCUAUAUUCAUUUCGGUCAGCGGUCGGUUUGGCCGAGGGGAUUGCCAUUGGAAAAUGUAGGCGAGAUUGGGCAUGAAGAAUUUUACACUGAGGUGUUUGGUGGCAAGCAAUUUAUACAGCAGGGAAUUUCAAAUGGCCUCCCUGAUGUUGAUUCAGUGUUCUAUUUCACCCGAAAACCAGGUUUGGAGGCUUUUGAUAUUAGGUUUGAUGAGCACGCUCCCAAAGUGGCCUUACCUCAAGGUACAAUGGUGCCCGUUAAUUCUUUCAAUACGCUUUAUCAUUCUUCAGCAUUUUGGGCUUUGAUGCUUCCUGUUUCUGUUAGUACAAUGGCUUCUGAUGUGUUAAGGGGUUACUGGGGACAGAGGCUUUUGUGGGAAAUUGGUGGGUAUGUUGUGGUUUAUCCCCCUACAGUUCAUCGAUAUGAUAGAAUUGAAUCAUACCCAUUUUCCGAAGAGAAAGAUCUUCAUGUGAAUGUAGGUCGUUUACUCAAGUUCUUGGUUUCAUGGAGGUCAAGUAAACAUAGAUUGUUCGAGAAGAUAUUGGAGUUAAGUUAUGUUAUGGCUGAGGAGGGAUUUUGGACUGAGAAGGAUGUGAAGUUUACGGCUGCUUGGCUUCAGGACUUGCUUGCCGUUGGGUACCAGCAACCAAGGCUAAUGUCACUAGAAUUGGAUCGACCAAGGGCAAGCAUUGGUCAUGGCGACCGGAAGGAGUUUAUUCCUCAAAAACUACCAUCAGUCCAUCUCGGAGUUGAGGAAACAGGGGUGGUGAAUAACGAGAUUGGGAGUUUGAUUCGGUGGAGGAAGAAUUUUGGUAAUGUAGUGCUUAUCAUGUUCUGCAGUGGGCCUGUGGAACGUACUGCACUGGAGUGGCGAUUGCUUUAUGGCAGGAUAUUCAGAACUGUAGUUAUUUUGGCAGAGCAGAAGAAUGCAGAUCUUGCUGUUGAAGAAGGGCGCUUGGACUUUGUAUACAAGUAAGUUGUUACUAUCACAUAUCUUUACCUUCCAACUAAAUUUUCACUGUCAGUGGCACGGCAUCUAGUUUAGAUUCUGAAUUUGUUUUACUUUAUUCUUUUAGAUAAUUUUUUUUUUUUAAUCAGAAACAAGAAAUGUGUAUAUUUGUUUCAUUCUUUUAGAUAAUUGAGGAGAAGGGAUUAGCAGUUGGAGGAUAGUCUGGCAUUAUAUUCUGUAUGGAUUGUUACAUUUCAAGAUAUAGGUAUACUUUAAUCUCGGAUAAUCUGUCAAUCACAAUAUUAGGAAAAAAUAUUGUUGGGCAUGGCUAAACCAUGCACAUAGCAAAAGUCAUGGGAAAAUUUGGACAUUGGCUGCCAAAAUGAUUUUUGACGAGUAAAUAUAAAUAUGACAAUGGUCUAGUCUGGGUUUUGCACUAAUAGUCCUUUUGUCACUUUAUAAUUGCUUGAGCCUCCUUUAUUAAGUUAUCUAUAUUGAAGAUUUUUUUACUUUUGGUUUAACUUCUUUCAUUCCAGAAGUGAUAUAAAUUAUAAUUUACUGAAGCAAAAAAGAAGAAUGAAGACAUGCCUAUGUUAUGUGAUACUAUAAUUCUAUGACAUUAAUAUAUAAAAAAAUUAUAGCUGCAAAAGUUGAGAUGUUUGAACACACUGCCAUGGAGUAAACUUGAGAGCUUACUAGUUCAAGCAUAUUUUCUUCAAUCAAGCACAUUCCUUGUCUAAAGAAUUAAAUUUAACCUUUAUGAAUAUGACAACUCUAGCUGGUACAUGCCUAUGAACCCCCCAAAAAAAAUACUCUUUCGAUGUUACAUAUCAGUUAUGAAAUUAUGAAUUUGAGUAGAUAUUGUGAUUGUUGCUGGGUUGCAGGGGGGCAGGAAAGUACAUGCUAGAUUAUAAGCAGUAGUUGUCAUCAUUACUUGGUAAUGGCUAUAAGUGAUAAGUUCAAAAUUCCUCUUUAAAUGUUCUCAAAGUUGAAGGUGGGAUGGGUUACCACAGUUUGUUCUCUUGGAGGUAGUUUUUCCAAACUGGUGUUAUGUUAGGUGACAGAAUAUGGCUAGGUUUGUCUUUAUUAGCCAUUACACAGGAGUUGAAAUAUGGCUUUUAUAUAGUCAUACAAUAGUUCAGCAUAAUGCCCACUAUUACUACCAAUACCCUAGCUGAGUUGUCUACUUGUCUUGAUAGCCAUAUACUGCACCAUCUGAGGUUGGUUUAGGGAUCUCAUCCAGGCAAAAGAGGUGGCUUUCAUCAAGUAAGAGGAGACCCCUUUGUUCCAAAUCACUGCUUCCAUGGACUUGGGCUGUAAGAACUGAACUGUAUUGACUUGGUUAUGGUUCACAUACUCAAUAGAAGUAGGCAAAAGUUCAAAAUUAAGUGGUUGGACAACGUCACUGGUGGGUUGGUUUCAGAAUUGACUUCUAGUUGAAAGCCUCUUGCUAACCGUGUCAUUAUUCCUGCGCUUGUGAAAAGGAGGGUAUUUAUGAAGCAAGAUGGCUUUAUAUAUUAUUGAGGUUGUGCUGAUGCUCAUUUGCAGCGCUAUUAAACUACUUUUGUAAAAUUAGAAGGAUGAGAAGUGGACUUCCCUGGGAAGCUUCCCUCUAAAACUAGAAAAAGUGGGCACUUUCUGCUUUUGCUGUAGAGAAGGUAGUGUAGGUUUUCUAGAAAAAAAAAAUUGGAUCUAGUCUUUCCUAGUAAUAAAUAGUCCUUAGGUGUUGCUUUCUCUAUAUUUUUCCACUUCAAAUUUCUUCCAUCUAAAUUCUGGUUAGGGAUAAUGUCAAUUUUAAGUUGUUGCUUGCUUUUAAAUUUAAGUUUCUUGCAAGCUUUGGUUGUUAUGUUGUCAAUUUCUUUUGGCUUUAGGCAUGAGGUUGUUGUUGAUAGUGAUGGAAAACCAAUUGGUUGAUGUGGCAUUGGAAAAGUUCUUUCUGUAUUGUUGUAGCUACCCCAUAUCAUUCAUCUGAAAUUUUGCUAAGGUAGCCCCUUUUCACAUUUUCCCUUUUCUUCUUUCUGAUAAUAUUGUCUAAUUUUGCUUUUCAGGCAACUGCUCAAUAUAUUUUCUCGCUUUACAAGCGCAGAAGGUUUUUUAUUCCUUCAUGACAAUACCAUUCUUAAUUACUGGAAUUUGCUGCAAGCAGACAAGAGCAAUCUGUGGAUUACAGACAAGGUAAUAUGAGUUUCAAAUACUGUAUGUAUGUUGGCCAUGCAUGGGGACUUGUGCUAUUUUAUUGCCAUUUGCCAAUAACCAACAUAAUCACUUAACUCUUUUAACUCUCAAAUUCAAUGGCGUUCAGGUAUCCAAGUCUUGGUCAACUGUUUCGACCAGUGGCAACUCAGAUUGGUUUUCAAAGCAAGCUGAUAUGGUAAAGAAAGUAGUCAGCAUGAUGCCAGUUCACUUCCAAGUCAAUUACAAGGAAACUAUAAACAGUGACCAGCUCCUCACGGUAUGCAGCUCUGAUGUAUUUUACAUUCCUCGGCGCUUCAUUGCUGACUUUACCGAGCUUGUUAAUCUAGUGGACAAUCUGGAAAUCCAUCACAAGGUUGCAAUACCCAUGUUCUUUCUAUCAAUGGAUUCACCUCAGAAUUUUGACCCAGUUCUUAGUAGGAUGAUUUAUGAAGAAAACCCACCUUCUACCAAUUCCUCAACAUUUUAUUCUGACAAAGUACCAGCUGUUCACCCCUGGAAUGUGUCAAGUGAGCAAGAGUUCAUAAAGCUUAUUAGAAUCAUGGCAGCAGGUGACCUUCUUCUGCUGGAGUUAGUUUGAAGGCAAGGAGAGGUUUUUGAUUCAGGGGCAAACCCAAGAGAAAGGAAGAAAGAACAUGUACCACCUUGUUAGUUGUUACGCCAAGUUCUGUAAUUUUUUUCUUUUUUCCUGGGGGAGGUUUCCUAUUUUCUUUUCCCUUUUGUAGAUUACCUUGUAUGAUUCAUUUACUGGUUGGGGAUCUCCUCCAAAAAGAAUUGUUACCUUUUCCACUAGUUUGUGGGUAUAUGAAAAAAAAUGUUUUGUUGGCAGUCCAAUUUAUUCCUCAAAUGACUGGGAUUCAUACUGAGCAAGAAAUUGGAAGCUGGCUUUGACUCGGAUAUGUGUUUGUUCUCAAGAAGCAUGGGAAUAUAAGGGGAGAAAAAAAAGUAUGGAAUGUAAGGAUGUGUUUGAAACUGUUUUUAACAGGAAAAGGGAACAUGUUUAAUAAGCGUUUAACAUAAAAGAGAAUUUGUUCUGAAAAUAAAUUUAGAAUAAAUUUAAGAUGUUGUCUGUGGUAAGAAUUUUUAUAUUGUAUGUAAAUGUAUUAUCCCUUCAUGGAAAAAAGCCAAAAACCAAAAAACUAUUUUUAUAUUUAAGUUUUCAAAAUGAAUUUUAUUCUUAAAAAUAAUUAAGAAUUGUUUUCUAAAAUAUUUUUAUAUACACCGUUAGAGUAUGUUUAACAACGUUUUAAAAAUAUUGUUUGUUUGGAACAAAAUGUUCUUUGGAAAUUCAAAUAUGAAACUUAUUCUCAUGGAAGUAUUGUAUAUACACUUAUGUGCAAUGCAAGAGCAUAAAUUCUUGAAGCAUAUCAAGGAUCAAUUGUUGCUCAGCACAAUCUGAACAAGCUUCAAAUCUCAACCUAGAAAAUCUUAGAUAACUCAUGAAAAAGUGGUAAAAGAAAUAAUUUUUUAUAUAUUUGAUUUUAUUAUAAAAAUAAAAUAAAAUUAAAUAUAAUUAAAAUUAAUUAAAAACUUGUGAAUUUUUAAAUUAUUUAAUAUUUAUAUGAGGUAGUUAAAAUAAGUUAAAUGAAUUUAAAGUAAUAUAUAAAAAUGUUUUAAUAAUUUUUAUUUUUCUUUUUAAUUUUCUUUCCCUCAAAUUUUCUAACUUGCUUGCAUCAACAAGAAGCCAUGGAUCAAGCUUCCUCAGACCUAACUUGCUAGCAUUAAAAAGAAUUAAGAAGAGAUUCAAAGUACAUUGAUGAUUAUUUCUCUAUUGGUGUUGGGUUUCUAGUUGCUACCAGUUUCAGCUUCAGAAUUGUUCCAGCUUUCAUGGUAAUUAAAACAUACAACUAAAAUAAUGCUAAUCAUCAUGAUCACAGUGAUGACAAUGAGGCUUUUUGGGACCGAAUCUGGCAAGUAAACUUCACACAGAAGAGAGACAGGGCCCUGAAAACGAAUUAAAUCAAAGAGGUAAACUGGAAAACAAAUUCAUAUUCCAAAUAUUUGUGGAAGUUACAUCUAUCCAUCCUACAAAGCAACAAGAAAGAGCUCAAGUAAAUUGAUGUAGUUAUUUGCACUCGAUUUUCUCUAUAACAGUUGGUUCAUAAUUUACCGAUCAAUUCCUUCAAUCUUGUCCUCAACUUCUGAGUACAACUGCCUCAACUUUUCGAUAUUAUCUUCUGAUGUUUCCCAGUACCCCCUUCCAUUGGCCUCCAAGAAGGUCUGCACCAACUUCCUGAAAGAAUUCGGAUUGGUGUUCAUGAGUCUCUUUAGCAUCUCCUCGUCUUGAAUGAAAGUCGAGUUGGCUUCUUCAUAGACCCAAUUGUCAACUUGGCCUGAGGUUGCACUCCACCCAACUGUAUUUGUCAGCCUCUUUUCGAUUUCCCGGACGCCCUCAUACCCACUUGACAUCAUUCCUUCAUACCAUUUGGGGUUCAACAGCUUGGUCCGAGCAUCAAGCCGGACAGUCUCAGAAAGUGUCCUCACCUGCAGCGUAACAAAUUUGAGCUUACCCAGCUGAAGAGAAGGAAUGAUCAGCAUAAGAGAAUUAUACGAUAAUGCUGAUAAUUCUCACCUGGGCAUUAGCUGUGGUUGUGUCAGCAAUGUAUGCAUUAGGCUUCUUGCCGUCCUUCCUUAGGCCCUGCACUAGAUUAGUGGGAUCUGAGUCGAAGUAGUGACUCACAUCAGUGAGUGAGAUUUCUGAUGAGUCAAGGUUUUGGAAUGUGGCAUCAGCUGUGCUUAGAGCCAUCUCAAAGACCUUCCUCUUCUCAGUCAUGCCUGCACCAGGGGCGUCACAGUCAAAUGCGAAGGACUUCCGGCUCAAGUACAUGUCUUGCAGCUGCUUCUCAUCAUUCCAUGAGGAAUUCUCAACAGCAAGAUUUAUAUUGGAUGAGUAUGAGCCUGAUGCAUUAGAGAAGACACGGGUUGCAGCGUCUCGAACCUCAAUGCCAAGGGCUUGAGCUUGCUCUAGUGCAUGCUUCCUGACAUAGUUCUGGUCUGCUGGCUCGUCUAGCUCAGCAACCAUCUUCACUGCCCGGUCAAGGAGGUUCAUCUGAACAAAGAGAAAAUGUUGAGGCACAAAUGAUCACCAAAGAGAAUUUAACAUAGCUGAUCAAAGGUAACAGAGAGUAUGGAAAGGGUUUAUACCUGGUUGAUGAAGAGGUCUCUGAAGACUCCUGAGCAGUUAACAACAACAUCGAUUCUAGGCCUUCCAAGCUCUUCGAGACUAACCGGCUCCACCCGGUUGACACGGCCAAAGGUAUCAGCAACUGGCCUCACACCGAUCAUCCACAGGACUUGAGCCAGUGACUCCCCAUAAGUCUUAAUGUUAUCCGUUCCCCACAACACAAGGGCAACUGUCUCAGGGUACUUUCCACCAUUGUCAGCCUUCUGCCUCUCAAGCAACCUAUCUACCACAACCAUUGCGCUCUGCAAUGCUGCUGCAGUGGGUAUAGAUUGUGGAUCCAGGGCAUGAAUAUUCUUUCCUGUUGGCAACACUUUCGGGUUUCUAAUUGGAUCACCACCAGGACCAGGCUCCACAUAUUUUCC